GGUCGGCGUUAGAUCAUAUAGCGUUAACGUACAGUGACGUCAAAAUUCUUAAGACCGGAAGUACUGUGCCAGAAGUGUAAACUUACACGAGUCACAGGGAUUUAAAUUCAAGGACUUCAAGCAGCAGGCGCGAUAAGAAGAUUAUAUCCUCAGGUUUAUAUCGUAUUAUUUAGUUUAAACGCAAUCUUUAAACUCUAGAUUUCGCCACAUUUAGAGAUAUAACUGAAGAUACACUUCUGUUAUAUACUUUACUCGAUCUGAACUCUGAAGACGGUUUUGUAAUGAUAUCACUUGCUGUUUACGAUAAUUGGAGAGAGGUAUGUCACAAAUUUUAAUUCAGUUAAUCCGUUAGGUAUUUUACAGUGAUACAAUUUAUAUUGUUAUCAAAUUCAAGAGUAUAACUAUAAAGCAGUGAAGCCGAAGGUUUUAGAUAAAGACCGAACUGCAAGGUUUGUAUAUGACUUCUAAAAUGACUGAUUUUGUACACUUACUGGCGUUGUAAUUUUGAAUAUUGAUGUUAUCUACGCCAUAAAAAUUAAAGGAGAAAUUUUAAGCGAGUCUACUGUAUAUACCUUACGACCUUACGCAGGGCCUUUUUUAAGGAUUUUCCCGUGGGGGGGCAUUUUUUGAAAAGGGACCUUUCUGUGAGAUAAUAUAUUACAGGGAGAUAGCAAUGUCUGAAGGCCACGUGUGCGCCGAACAUACCAUGCACGCAUGAAUGAGGGGGUGUACUCCCCCAGAAAAUUUUUGAAAUUUGAAGCACAGAAAUGCCAUUUCCUGCAUUCUGAGCAUCCAAAUGCGCUCCAAAAUGUAUACUAACUAUACUUGUAUUUGAAAUAAAAGAAGGGAAAAAAACACAAAAAGUAAAAAAAUAUUAACCAUAAUUUAUCAUUACUUAUUAGAGGAGGAUCCCAAUGGUCACGUGUGUGGGGGUGUACUUCCCCAGAAAAUUUUUGAAAUUUGAAACACGGAAAUGCAAUUUCCUGCAUUCUGAGCAUCCAAAUUUGCUCUAAAAUUUAUGCUAACUAUACUUGUAUUUGAAAUAAAAGAAGGAAAAAAUGCACAAAAAGUAAAAAAGAAUAUUAACCGUAAUUUAUCAUUAUACUUAUUAGAGGGGGAUACCAAUGGCCGAAGGCCACAUGUGUGGAGGCAUAAUCUCCAGAAAAUUUUUCAAAUUUGAAACCUGGAAAUGCUCUUUCCUGCAUUCUGAGCAACCAAAAAAUAAAAAAUUAUUAACAAUAAUUUAUCAUUACUUAGUGGUAGAAAAACGUAACAAUUUAGAUCGAUUUUGUUAAACAAGGACAAAAGAUAAAGCCUAAAAUUUACUUUCUGUUUAUUUAUUUGUUAUUCUUCGCUG
Paramuricea clavata is the source of this 1357-nucleotide non-coding RNA. The record is from the annotation of a GenBank genome assembly. NCBI's taxonomy places the organism in Eukaryota, Metazoa, Cnidaria, Anthozoa, Malacalcyonacea, Plexauridae.